RNAcentral lists this ribosomal RNA (385 nucleotides) under Aequorivita lutea. RNAcentral's name for it is "Aequorivita sp. q18 partial 23S ribosomal RNA". It matches the Rfam family "Bacterial large subunit ribosomal RNA", at positions 1229 to 1610 of the family's 2925-position model. The record is from RNAcentral. Lineage: Bacteria; Pseudomonadati; Bacteroidota; Flavobacteriia; Flavobacteriales; Flavobacteriaceae.
UAGGGGAGCUUCCCAUACGGGUUGAAGCAUGACCGUAAGGACAUGUGGACAGUAUGGGAGUGAGAAUGUUGGCAUGAGUAGCGAGAUGUGGGUGAGAAUCCCACAGGCCGUAAACCCAAGGUUUCCAGGGGAAGGUUCGUCCGCCCUGGGUUAGUCGGGACCUAAGCUGAGGCCGAAAGGCGUAGGUGAUGGACAACAGGUUGAUAUUCCUGUACUACCGAUAACCGUUUGAGAGAUGGGAUGACACAGUAGGAUAAGCUAAGCACACUGUUGGUUAUGUGUGCCCAAGCAUUGAGGCAGUCAAAGUAGGCAAAUCCGCUUUGAUAAUGCUGGGAUGUGAUGGGGAGCGAAAGUUAGUGGCGAAGUAGCUGAUUUCACACUGUCA